CCUACGGGAGGCAGCAGUAGGGAAUAUUGCUCAAUGGGGGAAACCCUGAAGCAGCAACGCCGCGCGGAGGAUGAAGGUUUUCGGAUUGUAAACUCCUUUUGUUAGAGAAGAUAAUGACGGUAUCUAACGAAUAAGCACCGGCUAACUCCGUGCCAGCAGCCGCGGUAAUACGGAGGGUGCAAGCGUUACUCGGAAUCACUGGGCGUAAGGAGCGCGUAGGCGGGUUAGCAAGUCAGAUGUGAAAUCCUAUGGCUUAACCAUAGAACUGCAUUUGAAACUGUUAUUCUAGAGUAUGGGAGAGGUAGGUGGAAUUCUUGGUGUAGGGGUAAAAUCCGUAGAGAUCAAGAGGAAUACUCAUGGCGAAGGCGACCUGCUAGAACAUAACUGACGCUGAUGCGCGAAAGCGUGGGGAGCAAACAGGAUUAGAUACCCUUGUAGUC
Molecule: ribosomal RNA, 440 nt
Filed under: uncultured bacterium
Lineage: Bacteria
Description: partial 16S ribosomal RNA
Rfam family: Bacterial small subunit ribosomal RNA
Source: RNAcentral